Non-coding RNA from Dipodomys ordii (Ord's kangaroo rat), 65 nucleotides. NCBI's taxonomy places the organism in Eukaryota, Metazoa, Chordata, Mammalia, Rodentia, Heteromyidae. The record is from Rfam.
GGUGGCUUAGUGGUAGAGUGUUUGCCUUGCAUGCAUGAGGCCCUGGGUUCGAUUCCUCAGCACCA